CACUCAUUAACAGAUUACGAAUCGAACAUUUCCUAUUUCCAGUAGUCAGAUAUGGAUGUGAGAGUUGGGCCAUAAAGAAGGUUGAGCUCGGAACAACUGAUGCUUUCAAACUGGGGUGCUGGAAGAGACUAUUGAGAGUCCCUUGGACAGCAAGGAGAAAUCAAACCAGUCAAUCUUAAAGGAAAUCAACCCUGAAUAUUCACUGGAAGGACUGAUGCUGAAGCUGAAGAUGCAAUACUGUGGCCACCUGAUGGGAAGAGCCAACUCAUUGGAAAAGACCCUGAUGCUGGGAAAGACUGAAGGCAGGAGGAGAAGGGGAAGACAGAGGACGAGAUCGUUGGAUAACAUCAGAAACUCAAUGGACAUGAAUUUGAGCAAACUCCGGAAGAUAGUAAAGGACAGGAAAGCCUGGCGUGCUGCAGUCCAAGGGGUCGCAGAGAGUCCGACCAACUGGAUUUAGCAACCGAAGAACAACAAACCCCUACACAGUAUCAGUAACACAAUUUGGGAGUCUCAGCGGUAAAUCACUUCUAUUAAAAGAGUUAGCUUUCUAGAAGCCACUAGGUUUCUGGUUUCUCUAUAAAGCAGGUCCUUCUACUAAUGGACGUCUGCUUUCAACUUUUGUUUUAAGCAGAAGUAAAACGUGGGAUUUGCGGGGACUAGGGGGCGGCUGGAUGAACUACUGUAGACUUUUUCUGCGUGCUGUGAUGAAGAGGCUGCUCGCUGCCCUAGAAAUCACUUUCUCUUCUCCGAGAUUCUAAAGGUAUGUGAACUACCGUUCUGGCCAUUCGCAUAGGUUCUGUGAUUUCCUCGAUCACAGUCGUGACCCAUACAGACAGAGCAGCAAAUCCGAUCCUUUCCCGGUUUCUCUGGGAGCGGGGCUCGCUUCUUUCCCAUAGGCCCAUCCCCCUAUCGAGAAAAAUGCCUGGAGGAGAUUAGUGUCGUGAGGCCACCCGGGGCUGACAUUUAAGAGUUGGACAAUAAACUCGAUCGAGGUUUUCGGCAGAAACUCCGUCUGGCUCGCCUGUGCUCCGAAGCCUUCGAGCUGCCCAGCUGGGAUGCAGAGCUUGUGCUUCAUCCAGUCCGGCAUUUAGCAUGAUUUACUCUGCAUAUCAUGCAUACCCACUCCCGAGGUCAGGGGCAGCGGCCGAGAGGAGCAACCCCACGUCCAAGGAGCGGCUGCUGCAAGGGCAUAGGAGGGCUGAGAGGAGCUACUCCACAUUCGAGAUCAGGAGGGGGAGCCAGGAGGAGAUACCCCUCAUCCAAGAUGAUAACUCUUAAUGGCAGAAAGUGAAGAGGGACUGAAGAGCCUCUUGAUGAAGAGUGAGUGUUAAUCACUCAGGCAUGUCCAACUCUUUUGAGUCCCCAUGGAUUGUAGCCCACCAAGCUCCUCUGUCCAUGGAAUUCUCCAGGUAAGAAUUCCGGAGUGGAUUGCCAUUCCCUUCUCCAGCAGAUCUUCCUGACCCAUGGAUCAAACCCGUCUCUCCUGCAUUGCAGGCAGAUUCUUUGCUGUCUGAGCUGAAGAGGAAAAGAGGUGAGUGCAAAAGAUGGCUUAAAACUCAACAUUCAAAAAAUGAAGAUCAUGGCACUCAGUUCCAUCACUUCAUGGUAAAUAGGGAAACAAGGGAAACAGGGACAGAUUUUAUUUUCUUGGGCUCCAAAAUCACUGUGAACAGUGAAUUCAGUUACAAAAUUAGAAGAUGCUUGCUCCUUGAAAGAAAAGCUCUAACAAAUCUAGACAGCGUAUUAAAAAGCAAAGACAUCACUUUGCCGACAAAGGUCCAUCUAUUCAAGGCUAUGGUUUUCCCAGUAGUCAUGUACGGAUAUGAAAGUUGGACCGGAAAGAAGGCUGAGCACCAAAGAAUUGAUGCUUUCAAACUGUGGUGCCUGAGAAGACUCUUGAGAGUCUCUUGAACCCGUCAAUACUAAAGGAAGUCAACCCUGAAUAUUCAUUGGAAGGACUGAUGCUGAAGCUGAAGAUCCAAUACCUUGGCCACCUGGUAUGAAGGGCUGACUCAUUGGAAAAGACCCUGAUGCUGGGAAAGAUUGAAGGCAGGAGGAGGAGGGGCCAACAGAGGAUGAGAUGGAUGGAUGGCAUCAUCAAUUCAAUGGGCAUGAGUUUGAGCAAACUCCGGGAGAUGGUGAAGGACAGGGAAGCCCGGCACGCUGCAGUCCAUGAUAUUGCAGAGUCGGACAUGACUGAACAACGACAACAGUGGUUACGGAUGUAGGUACAAACUGUACUAUGCUUUGCAAACUGGGGGAAGAACAUCCCUUGCAGUAGGCAGCCAUCAGCCGUGGGGCAUGAACAUCCUGUCUCUGUGAUUAUUUGUGGCUGUGGACAGGGAGGUAUGCAGCCUCAUUCCAGAUGUUCAGAUACAGCCAGAAGUGAAAUCUUUGUAGCUGAGGAAGUGCUCCGAAUUGCCUCUGUGACACAUGGAUCAGAAAGAUCAUUGUUGUGUUCAAACAUAUGGAUGCUUGCAUUUCCAUCUGCUUAUUUACCCUUUGUCCUGACAUAAA
Long non-coding RNA from Dama dama (fallow deer), 2520 nucleotides. RefSeq lists it as uncharacterized. The record is from RefSeq and is a predicted model, not a curated record. Lineage: Eukaryota; Metazoa; Chordata; Mammalia; Artiodactyla; Cervidae. The transcript has 3 exons.